GCCUGGAUGGCGGAACUGGUAGACGCGUAGGAUUCAGGAUCCUAUGGCAAUAACCAUGCCGGUUCAAGUCCGGCUUCAGGCACCA
RNAcentral lists this transfer RNA (85 nucleotides) under Fusobacterium hominis. RNAcentral describes it as "Fusobacterium sp. NSJ-57 tRNA-Leu". It matches the Rfam family "tRNA". Rfam says of the family: Transfer RNA (tRNA) molecules are approximately 80 nucleotides in length. Lineage: Bacteria; Fusobacteriati; Fusobacteriota; Fusobacteriia; Fusobacteriales; Fusobacteriaceae. The record is from RNAcentral.